This 468-nucleotide ribosomal RNA is filed under the name uncultured bacterium. Its description in RNAcentral is "partial 16S ribosomal RNA". It matches the Rfam family "Bacterial small subunit ribosomal RNA", at positions 28 to 507 of the family's 1533-position model. The record is from RNAcentral.
GACGAACGCUGGCGGCGUGCUUAACACAUGCAAGUCGAACGGAAAGGCCCUGCUUUUGUGGGGUGCUCGAGUGGCGAACGGGUGAGUAACACGUGAGUAACCUGCCCUUGACUUUGGGAUAACUUCAGGAAACUGGGGCUAAUACCGGAUAGGAGCGCCUGCUGCAUGGUGGGGGUUGGAAAGUUUCGGCGGUUGGGGAUGGACUCGCGGCUUAUCAGCUUGUUGGUGGGGUAGUGGCUUACCAAGGCUUUGACGGGUAGCCGGCCUGAGAGGGUGACCGGCCACAUUGGGACUGAGAUACGGACCAGACUCCUACGGGAGGCAGCAGUGGGGAAUAUUGCACAAUGGGCGGAAGCCUGAUGCAGCAACGCCGCGUGCGGGAUGACGGCCUUCGGGUGGUAAACCGCUUUCGCCUGUGACGAAGCGUGAGUGACGGUAAUGGGUAAAGAAGCACCGGCUAACUACGUG